Molecule: non-coding RNA, 724 nt
Organism: Paramuricea clavata
Lineage: Eukaryota; Metazoa; Cnidaria; Anthozoa; Malacalcyonacea; Plexauridae
Source: the annotation of a GenBank genome assembly
GUGUUGACAACUUGACAUUAUUUUCUAAAUUUGACCAUCAUCUGCUGCCCUAGAGCGAAACCCAUAUUUAAGCUAGUAGCCGCAAUUUUAUAGACUUUAGUAGAUUUUUUUCAGGUCCCCUUUUUACGUUAUUUUUGGUCCCUUGGGAAAGAUGUCCCACCCAGUUACAUAUCCUUAAAAGAGGCCCUGAGAUUUGAAAAAGACAAAUUCACGAUCCGUGGCACAACAUUAAACACUUUCCAAACUGAACGUUCUUUUUCCCUUUUCAUGGGUUAGGAACCAUUAAACAGCAAGAUAUGAGGACGUUACGUCCUCUGAUUUUGCUGCGACCUCUGAACAAAUCAUAUCCAGACCGGAACCGUAAUCGAACGUCAUUCUUGUGUAUUACUAGGAACAAAACCUUUUUUUCAUUUCUAGUUGAUAUUACCCACUGAACUCAAAACGAACAUGAUCAUAACCAACUCUUUCUCUUAACUUGUACAAUACUAAUCAAUAGGUUUUAUUUUUUCUAUUUUAAAAAAUAUUUUAAUUAAAAUGUGUUUGCCCCAAGGGCGUACACGCUCAUCUAGGGGGCUUACUCGAAAUAAGUUUUUAUCUCAGACUCUUUAAUUUUGUAAAUAUUUAGUAACCAGUAUAACAUUUUUAUAAUUAGUUUUGUAAUUCAUGUUUUGUAAUGCGAUAAUUACAAUUAUUAAAUGAGGUUGAGCAUGAUAUUGAGGCUGAG